RNAcentral lists this ribosomal RNA (466 nucleotides) under uncultured bacterium. Its description in RNAcentral is "partial 16S ribosomal RNA". It matches the Rfam family "Bacterial small subunit ribosomal RNA", at positions 28 to 507 of the family's 1533-position model. The record is from RNAcentral.
GACGAACGCUGGCGGCGCGCCUAACACAUGCAAGUCGAACGAGCGAGAGAGAGCUUGCUUUCUCGAGCGAUUGGCGAACGGGUGAGUAACGCGCGAGGAACCUGCCUCUAAGAGGGGGACAACAGUUGGAAACGACGGCUAACACCGCAUAAGCUCACGUCCCGGCAUUGGGUAGAGGGAAAAGGAGCAAUUUGCUUUGAGAUGGCGUCGCGUCCGAUUAGCUUGUUGGUGAGGUAACGGCACACCAAUGCGAGGAUCGGUAGCCGGACUGGGAGGUUGAGCGGCCACAUUGGCAGUGAGAAACAGCCCAGAAUCCUACGGGAGGGGGCAGUGGGGAACGGUGCACAAUGGGGGAAACCCUGAUGGUGCGAGGACGGGUGGAGGAAGAAGGUCGUGGGAAAGUAAACUCCUGUUGUCGAGGAAGAUAAUGACGGUACUCAACAAGGAAGCGACGGCUAACUACGUG